RNAcentral lists this ribosomal RNA (451 nucleotides) under uncultured bacterium. Its description in RNAcentral is "partial 16S ribosomal RNA". It matches the Rfam family "Bacterial small subunit ribosomal RNA", at positions 354 to 796 of the family's 1533-position model. The record is from RNAcentral.
GUGGGGAAUAUUGGACAAUGGGGGGAACCCUGAUCCAGCCAUGCCGCGUGUGUGAAGAAGGCCUUUUGGUUGUAAAGCACUUUAAGCGAGGAGGAGGCUACCGAGAUUAAUACUCUUGGAUAGUGGACGUUACUCGCAGAAUAAGCACCGGCUAACUCUGUGCCAGCAGCCGCGGUAAUACAGAGGGUGCGAGCGUUAAUCGGAUUUACUGGGCGUAAAGCGUGCGUAGGCGGCUUUUUAAGUCGGAUGUGAAAUCCCUGAGCUUAACUUAGGAAUUGCAUUCGAUACUGGGAAGCUAGAGUAUGGGAGAGGAUGGUAGAAUUCCAGGUGUAGCGGUUAAAUGCGUAGAGAUCUGGAGGAAUACCGAUGGCGAAGGCAGCCAUCUGGCCUAAUACUGACGCUGAGGUACGAAAGCAUGGGGAGCAAACAGGAUUAGAAACCCGGGUAGUCC